Molecule: ribosomal RNA, 1435 nt
Filed under: human gut metagenome
Description: bacterial SSU rRNA
Rfam family: Bacterial small subunit ribosomal RNA
Source: RNAcentral
CUUUGCUUGGUGGUGAGAGUGGCGAACGGGUGAGUAAUGCGUGACCGACCUGCCCCAUACACCGGAAUAGCUCCUGGAAACGGGUGGUAAUGCCGGAUGCUCCGACUCCUCGCAUGGGGUGUCGGGAAAGAUUAUAUCGGUAUGGGAUGGGGUCGCGUCCUAUCAGGUAGUCGGCGGGGUAACGGCCCACCGAGCCUACGACGGGUAGCCGGCCUGAGAGGGCGACCGGCCACAUUGGGACUGAGAUACGGCCCAGACUCCUACGGGAGGCAGCAGUGGGGAAUAUUGCACAAUGGGCGCAAGCCUGAUGCAGCGACGCCGCGUGCGGGAUGACGGCCUUCGGGUUGUAAACCGCUUUUGAUCGGGAGCAAGCCUUCGGGUGAGUGUACCUUUCGAAUAAGCACCGGCUAACUACGUGCCAGCAGCCGCGGUAAUACGUAGGGUGCAAGCGUUAUCCGGAAUUAUUGGGCGUAAAGGGCUCGUAGGCGGUUCGUCGCGUCCGGUGUGAAAGUCCAUCGCUUAACGGUGGAUCUGCGCCGGGUACGGGCGGGCUGGAGUGCGGUAGGGGAGACUGGAAUUCCCGGUGUAACGGUGGAAUGUGUAGAUAUCGGGAAGAACACCAAUGGCGAAGGCAGGUCUCUGGGCCGUUACUGACGCUGAGGAGCGAAAGCGUGGGGAGCGAACAGGAUUAGAUACCCUGGUAGUCCACGCCGUAAACGGUGGAUGCUGGAUGUGGGGCCCGUUCCACGGGUUCCGUGUCGGAGCUAACGCGUUAAGCAUCCCGCCUGGGGAGUACGGCCGCAAGGCUAAAACUCAAAGAAAUUGACGGGGGCCCGCACAAGCGGCGGAGCAUGCGGAUUAAUUCGAUGCAACGCGAAGAACCUUACCUGGGCUUGACAUGUUCCCGACAGCCGUAGAGAUAUGGCCUCCCUUCGGGGCGGGUUCACAGGUGGUGCAUGGUCGUCGUCAGCUCGUGUCGUGAGAUGUUGGGUUAAGUCCCGCAACGAGCGCAACCCUCGCCCUGUGUUGCCAGCACGUCAUGGUGGGAACUCACGGGGGACCGCCGGGGUCAACUCGGAGGAAGGUGGGGAUGACGUCAGAUCAUCAUGCCCCUUACGUCCAGGGCUUCACGCAUGCUACAAUGGCCGGUACAACGGGAUGCGACACGGCGACGUGGAGCGGAUCCCUGAAAACCGGUCUCAGUUCGGAUUGGAGUCUGCAACCCGACUCCAUGAAGGCGGAGUCGCUAGUAAUCGCGGAUCAGCAACGCCGCGGUGAAUGCGUUCCCGGGCCUUGUACACACCGCCCGUCAAGUCAUGAAAGUGGGUAGCACCCGAAGCCGGUGGCCUAACCCUUUGUGGAUGGAGCCGUCUAAGGUGAGACUCGUGAUUGGGACUAAGUCGUAACAAGGUAGCCGUACCGGAAGGUGCGGCUG